GAUGAACGCCGGCGGCGUGCCUAAUACAUGCCAGUCGAGCGAACGGACGAGAAGCUUGCUUUUCUGAUGUUAGCGGCGGACGGGUGAGUAACACGUGGAUAACCUACCUAUAAGACUGGGAUAACUUCGGGAAACCGGAGCUAAUACCGGAUAAUAUUUUGAACCGCAUGGUUCAAAAGUGAAAGACGGUCUUGCUGUCACUUAUAGAUGGAUCCGCGCUGCAUUAGCUAGUUGGUAAGGUAACGGCUUACCAAGGCAACGAUGCAUAGCCGACCUGAGAGGGUGAUCGGCCACACUGGAACUGAGACACGGUCCAGACUCCUACGGGAGGCAGCAGUAGGGAAUCUUCCGCAAUGGGCGAAAGCCUGACGGAGCAACGCCGCGUGAGUGAUGAAGGUCUUCGGAUCGUAAAACUCUGUUAUUAGGGAAGAACAUAUGUGUAAGUAACUGUGCACAUCUUGACGGUACCUAAUCAGAAAGCCACGGCUAACUACGUG
This 497-nucleotide ribosomal RNA is filed under the name uncultured bacterium. RNAcentral's name for it is "partial 16S ribosomal RNA". It matches the Rfam family "Bacterial small subunit ribosomal RNA", at positions 28 to 507 of the family's 1533-position model. The record is from RNAcentral.